Molecule: transfer RNA, 60 nt
Filed under: Cyrtodactylus peguensis
Lineage: Eukaryota; Metazoa; Chordata; Lepidosauria; Squamata; Gekkonidae
Description: tRNA Ser
Source: RNAcentral
AAGAGGUAGACCGUCGACCUGCUAACUCGACCCCCCCAAUCUGACCAUUUGGCCCUCUUC